UUACUUACCUGGACGGGGUCAAUGGAUGAUCAAUAAGACCCAUGGCUUAUACUGAGUGACUCCAUUGCACUUUGGAGGGGCACCUGUGUAAGGUCGACCAAAGUAGUCGAACCUGUGUCAAUUUGUGUCAGAAGGGGUUUGCGUUCGCGCAGGGCCGGC
Molecule: small nuclear RNA, 159 nt
Filed under: Erythranthe guttata (spotted monkey flower)
Lineage: Eukaryota; Viridiplantae; Streptophyta; Magnoliopsida; Lamiales; Phrymaceae
Description: Mimulus guttatus (spotted monkey flower) U1 spliceosomal RNA
Rfam family: U1 spliceosomal RNA
About the family: U1 is a small nuclear RNA (snRNA) component of the spliceosome (involved in pre-mRNA splicing). Its 5' end forms complementary base pairs with the 5' splice junction, thus defining the 5' donor site of an intron. There are significant differences in sequence and secondary structure between metazoan and yeast U1 snRNAs, the latter being much longer (568 nucleotides as compared to 164 nucleotides in human).
Source: Rfam by way of RNAcentral